UACGUAGGGUGCAAGCGUUGUCCGGAAUUAUUGGGCGUAAAGAGCUCGUAGGCGGUUUGUCGCGUCGAAUGUGAAAACCCGGGGCUCAACCCCGGGCCUGCAUUCGAUACGGGCAGACCAGAGUUCGGUAGGGGAGUCUGGAAUUCCUGGUGUAGCGGUGAAAUGCGCAGAUAUCAGGAGGAACACCGGUGGCGAAGGCGGGACUCUGGGCCGAUACUGACGCUGAGGAGCGAAAGCGUGGGGAGCAAACAGG
Molecule: ribosomal RNA, 253 nt
Filed under: uncultured bacterium
Lineage: Bacteria
Description: partial 16S ribosomal RNA
Rfam family: Bacterial small subunit ribosomal RNA
Source: RNAcentral